CGGCCGUACUUUCGGCGGGCGGAGCGCCACGACCGGUUCGUCGGCGGCGAGAAACUCCCGGGCAAGGUGACCUUCGUCUCGGCGCAGGAGCAUACAGGCCCGGUGAGCGUCGGCCCGUCGGUGGACCGAGGAAGACCGUCGCGGAGCGGCGUCGACCGUUCGUCGUGUGUUGGCGUUCGACUCGGGGGGACUGGUUCCAGUGCCCUCGGACCGCGCCGGCGCAGCGGCGGGCGCGCACGGCGUCGCGCCUGGGGUCGGUGGCGAAACGGCCGGCAACCUGUCCGACCCGUCUUGAAACACGGACCAAGGAGUCUAACAUGUGCGCGAGUCGUUGGGCGCUACGAAACCCGAAGGCGCAAUGAAAGUGAAGGCCCGGUCUCCGGCCGGCCUGGGUGGGAUCCCGGCGGUCUCGGCCGUCGGGCGCACCACCGGCCCGUCUCGUUCGUUACGUCGAGGAGGCGGAGCAAGAGCGUACACGUUGGGACCCGAAAGAUGGUGAACUAUGCCCGAGUAGGACGAAGCCAGAGGAAACUCUGGUGGAGGUCCGCAGCGAUUCUGACGUGCAAAUCGAUCGUCAAACUUGGGUAUAGGGGCGAAAGACUAAUCGAACCAUCUAGUAGCUGGUUCCUGUCGAAGUUUCCCUCAGGAUAGCUGGCGCUCGUCGUGAGCAGUUUUAUCCGGUAAAGCGAAUGACUGGAGGCCUUGGG
RNAcentral lists this ribosomal RNA (707 nucleotides) under Eiseniella tetraedra. Its description in RNAcentral is "eukaryotic LSU rRNA". The stretch from base 303 to 707 matches the Rfam family "Eukaryotic large subunit ribosomal RNA", at positions 665 to 1034 of the family's 3401-position model. The record is from RNAcentral. Lineage: Eukaryota; Metazoa; Annelida; Clitellata; Crassiclitellata; Lumbricidae.